Molecule: non-coding RNA, 1301 nt
Organism: Hydra vulgaris (swiftwater hydra)
Lineage: Eukaryota; Metazoa; Cnidaria; Hydrozoa; Anthoathecata; Hydridae
Source: RefSeq, a predicted model, not a curated record
UUUUAAUUUUUAGUAUAUUAAUCAAUAGAUAGUUUAUAUUAAUCAAUAUAUAGCUCAAAGCCAUAAUGGUUAAAUGGAAUGAGGUUUGGCUGGAAAAGCUUGAUAAAAAUCAAGUUAAAAUUAAACUAUGGGCUGAGAAAAAAAACUCUAAUUUUGCAGUUUGUAAACUAUGUUUUAUAGAUUUGAAAUACAGUUUAGUUGGUUUUCAAGCAUUUAUCAGCGUUCUACAAAACCUAAACAUAAAUUAGUUUCUGAUAUUAGAUUUUCAAAAACAGCUUGUCAUUUGAAUGUGAGAGAAAAUAGUACAACUAGAGUAUUCUAUAAAUGAUAAAAUUUCAGCUGCAGAAGCUAUGUGGCUGUUUAAAGUUGCUGAAAAUGAUCUUGCUUCAAGACAUUGCAAUAAUACAUCAUUAUAAUUUUAAAGAAAGUCAAAAAAAUGCUUGCAGAUUUAUAACAUAAUGAAAGAUUUGAUUUACCAUGGGAUGGACUUUUUAAUAUUUCAACUGAUGGUCCUAAUAUUAAUAAAGCUAUUUGGAAUUUAUUAAAUGCUGAUCUUCAUAACGAUGGUUUUAAUGGAUUAUUACCAUUUGUAAGUUGCACUUUGCACACAGUGCACAAUGCAUUUUGAAAAGCAAUAAUAGUUUUAGGUGAGGAUACUGAGCAGCUUGCAUUUGAUUUACAUGCUUGGUUUAAGGUAUGGGCUUUAUUAGUAAUUUUACUGUUAGUAUUAUUUAAAAAAAAGUUAUUUUUCACUCAUUAUUAGCUAAUAAAAAGUUGUUAGUCUUUAUGCUCAAGUUUGAAAUGUACCCUUUCAAAAACUUCCGCUUGUUUUGCAAAUAUUAAAAGAUUUUACUUGCUUGGGUGCUUAAAUGAGGUCAGAAACUUGGACUGUUUGCAAUUUUGAUGCCAUAUGUUAUAAAGGAAAAAGAGGUAUAAUUUGUGAAAAAUGAAUGGAAAUGUAUCAAGCAGCUAGUAUCUCAAAAGACUGGUAUUUAGAUUCUGAUACAAAAAAACUAAAGAGAGUUGACUAUCACUAUUUUAAGUAUCUAAGUAAAAACUAAGUAUCUAUAUCUCAGUAAAGUUGUUAAGAGCUGUUUAACUGUUCAGAAUGGAAACAGUGCAGAGCGAAGUUUAUCAGAUAAUAAAAAUACAUUGACUACAGAUCGAGUAAAACUAAAUGAUGAAACAUUGAUGGCUUUAAGAGUAUCAAAGGAAUACGCAAGAAGUUGCAAUGGAGCAUAUAAUGUUGAUGUUCUCUCUAAAGAUGUUGUUCAAGCAGUGCAAAAUGCUCACAGAAUAUA